GGCAAGUUCAAGCUCCUUAUAUGGAGACCCUCUGUCUCUGAAGCCCUUACACAUUUCCUUUCCUGACUGGGAUUGUGAAUUUCAUUUUCCUUGCAAUUCCCUUUUUCUUUUUAGUACUUUGGAUUGAACCUAGGAGCACUUUACAGUGAGCUAUGUCCCCAGUCCUUUUUUUAAAAAUUUGUUUAUUUAUUCUAAUUUGUUAUACAUGACAGCAGAAUGCAUUUCAAUUCAUAGUACACAUAUUGAGCACAUUUUUUCGUCUCUGGUGUACACAAAGAAGAGUCACACCAUUCGUAUCUUCAUACAUGUACUUAGGGUAAUAAUGUCCUUUACAUUCCACCAUCUUUCUUACCUCCAUCCCCCCUCCCUUCCCUUCCUUCCCCUUUGCCCCAUCUAAAGUUCCUCCACUCCUUCCAUGCUCUCCCCCCACCAUCCCCAUUAUGGAGCAGCAUCCACUAUCAGAGAAAACAUUUGGCAUUUGGAUUUUUGGGGUUGGCUUACUUCACUUAGCUUGAUAUUUUCCAGCUCCAUCCAUUUACCUGCAAAUGUCAUGAUUUUAUUCUUUUUUAAUGCUGAGUAAUAUUCCAUUGUGUAUAUAUACCACAUUUUUUAAAUCCAUUCAUCUAUUGAAGGGCAUCUAGGUUGCUUCCACAAUUUAGCUGUUGUGAAUUGUAUUGCUGUAAACAUUGAUGUAGCUGCAUCACUGUAGCAUGCUGUUUUUUAAGUCCUUUGGGUAUAAACCGAAGAGUGGGAUAGCUGGGUCAAGUGGUGGUUCCAUUUCAGGUUUUCCAAGGAAUCACCAUACUGCUUUCUAUAUUGGUUGUAACAAUUUGCAGUUCUACCAGUAAUGUAUGACAGUGCCUUUUCCCCCACAUCCUCUCCAACACUUACAGUUAUUUGUAUUCUUAAUAACUGCCAUUCUGACUGGAGUGAGAUGAAAUCGUAGUUUGGUUUUCUCUAAUUGCUAGAGAUGUUGAACAUUUUUUUCAUAUAUUUGUUGAUUGAUUGUAUAUUGUGUUCUGAGAAGUAUCUGUUCAGUUCCUUGGUCCAUUUAUUGGUUGGGUUAUUUGUCUUUUUGGUGUUAAGAUUUUUGAGUUCUUUAUAUAUCCUAGAGAUUAGUGCUUUGUCUGAUGUGCGUGUGGUAAAAAUUUGCUCCCAUUCUGUAGGCUCUCUGUUAACUUCACUGAUUAUGUCUUUUGCUGAGAAGCAGCUUUUCAUUUUGAAUUCAUCCCAUUUAUUGAUUCCUGAUUUUAUUUCUUGUGCUUACCUAUGCUAUAGGAAUCUUGUUAAGGGUGUUGGGGCCUAAUCUGACAUGAUGAAGAUUUGGGCUUACUUUUUCUCCUGUUAGGCACGGGGACUCUGGUUUUAUUCCUAGGUCCUUGAUUCACUUUGAGUUGAGUUUUAUGCAUGGUGAGAGAUAGGGGCUUAAUUUCAUUUUGCUGCAUAUGGAUUUCUAGUUUUCCCAGCACCAUUUGUUGAAGAGACUAUCUUUUC
RNAcentral lists this long non-coding RNA (1494 nucleotides) under Marmota monax (woodchuck). The record is from RNAcentral. Lineage: Eukaryota; Metazoa; Chordata; Mammalia; Rodentia; Sciuridae.